Molecule: ribosomal RNA, 468 nt
Filed under: uncultured bacterium
Lineage: Bacteria
Description: partial 16S ribosomal RNA
Rfam family: Bacterial small subunit ribosomal RNA
Source: RNAcentral
GACGAACGCUGGCGGCGUGCUUAACACAUGCAAGUCGAACGGAAAGGCCCUGCUUUUGUGGGGUGCUCGAGUGGCGAACGGGUGAGUAACACGUGAGUAACCUGCCCUUGACUUUGGGAUAACUUCAGGAAACUGGGGCUAAUACCGGAUAGGAGCUCCUGCUGCAUGGUGGGGGUUGGAAAGUUUCGGCGGUUGGGGAUGGACUCGCGGCUUAUCAGCUUGUUGGUGGGGUAGUGGCUUACCAAGGCUUUGACGGGUAGCCGGCCUGAGAGGGUGACCGGCCAGAAGGGGACUGGGAUACGGCCCGGACUCCUACGGGAGGCAGCAGGGGGGAAUAGGGCACUAUGGGCGGAGGCCUGACGAAGCACCGCCGCGGGGGGGAUGCGGGCGUUCGGGUUGUAAACCGCUGGCGCCGGUGACAAAGCGUGGGUGAGGGUAAUGGGAAAAGAAGCAACGGCUAACUACGUG